UUUUCUUUAGGAAGGGUGUGGUUACAAGGGCAAAUGUCAAGCUAAGGGCAUUCUGAGCUCGGUUUACUGUCACCAAUGAAACAGAAUGUCUAAGAUUGAAAGAGCACUAGCACCAGAGAAACUAAAGAUUCCAACUACAGUUGAGUUUUGGGUGAUGGACCGACUAGAAAUUGUGCAGGUGGCUAGAAAUUGUGCAUGGUGGAGUACCAGGUUGAUUAAAACGGG
Molecule: long non-coding RNA, 225 nt
Filed under: Setaria italica (foxtail millet)
Lineage: Eukaryota; Viridiplantae; Streptophyta; Magnoliopsida; Poales; Poaceae
Description: long non-coding RNA (SITA_LNC003151)
Source: RNAcentral